GAUGAACGCUGGCGGCGUGCCUAAUACAUGCAAGUCGAGCGAACAGAUAAGGAGCUUGCUCCUUUGACGUUAGCGGCGGACGGGUGAGUAACACGUGGGUAACCUACCUAUAAGACUGGGAUAACUUCGGGAAACCGGAGCUAAUACCGGAUAACAUUUGGAACCGCAUGGUUCUAAAGUGAAAGAUGGUUUUGCUAUCACUUAUAGAUGGACCCGCGCCGUAUUAGCUAGUUGGUAAGGUAACGGCUUACCAAGGCGACGAUACGUAGCCGACCUGAGAGGGUGAUCGGCCACACUGGUACUGAGACACGGUCCAGACUCCUACGGGAGGCAGCAGUAGGGAAUCUUCCGCAAUGGGCGAAAGCCUGACGGAGCAACGCCGCGUGAGUGAUGAAGGGUUUCGGCUCGUAAAACUCUGUUAUUAGGGAAGAACAAACGUGUAAGUAACUGUGCACGUCUUGACGGUACCUAAUCAGAAAGCCACGGCUAACUACGUG
This 497-nucleotide ribosomal RNA is filed under the name uncultured bacterium. RNAcentral describes it as "partial 16S ribosomal RNA". It matches the Rfam family "Bacterial small subunit ribosomal RNA", at positions 28 to 507 of the family's 1533-position model. The record is from RNAcentral.